UACAGAGGUCUCGAGCGUUAGGCGGAAUCACUGGGCUUAAAGCGUGUGUAGGUGGAUGCCUAAGUCCCUUGUGAAAUCCCACAGCUUAACUGUGGAACUGCUUGGUAUACUGGGUGUCUUGAGUCACUCAGGGGCGAGCGGAACAAAUGGUGGAGCGGUGAAAUGCGUAGAUAUCAUUUGGAACGCCAAUGGUGAAAACAGCUCGCUGGGGGUGCACUGACACUGAGACACGAAAGCCAGGGGAGCGAACGGG
RNAcentral lists this ribosomal RNA (253 nucleotides) under uncultured bacterium. RNAcentral describes it as "partial 16S ribosomal RNA". It matches the Rfam family "Bacterial small subunit ribosomal RNA", at positions 524 to 776 of the family's 1533-position model. The record is from RNAcentral.